UGACAUGUCUAGCCUAUUCAUGAAUGCA
This 28-nucleotide non-coding RNA is filed under the name Mus musculus (house mouse). Lineage: Eukaryota; Metazoa; Chordata; Mammalia; Rodentia; Muridae. The record is from RNAcentral.